Amaranthus tricolor (Joseph's coat) is the source of this 3185-nucleotide RNA transcript. It is a transcript of the gene named pentatricopeptide repeat-containing protein At1g77405, with no coding region annotated. The transcript has 2 exons. Lineage: Eukaryota; Viridiplantae; Streptophyta; Magnoliopsida; Caryophyllales; Amaranthaceae. The record is from RefSeq and is a predicted model, not a curated record.
GUGAAUAUAUCAAAAUUGUACAUUUCAUUUUUAGCGAAAGGGAGUAUUUGUUUCGUUCAUUCCCGCCUCUGUAAACAAACAAAAUGUUGGCAACAAAACCUCUGUUCUACCAUCAUCGUUCUCCUAUCGUCAACCAAGUACUUACCCUCAUGAUCAAGGACACUCCAUUCAAUCUCUUUAAUCCACCCGCUUCAUUCUCAUGGACCUCCGAGUCCGUAUCCGAUGUACUCCGUUCCAUACCCACUUUCUUCUUCAUUCCUACCCGCUCCAUUGGCCGUCAAUCCAACCCGACCCGCCACCGUGCUCCACUUAAACAACGCAACCUUUCAUUAGAAUCCAAUAAACUCCAAAAAGGAACCCUUGUUCUAGGCCCUGCUGCCCAUCGUGACCCAACCAGUAUUGAUCAUGGCGUUUUAAAGUCCACCCAGUUUUUUUACUGGGUCGAAUCUCAUUCUGGGUUCACCCAUGAUGAAACCACCGUCAAGGAGAUGGCCAUUGUUUUUGCUAAAGCUAAUAAACUGAUUAAUCUCUGGAAUUUUCUUAAAGAAAUGAGCAGAAGAGAUAAUAAUGGGCUUGUAACUACCAUGUCUAUUACCUGUUUGAUAAAAUGCUUAGGUGAACAAGGACUUGUAAAUGAGGCGUUUCAUGCUUUCUGUAGAUUGCGACAGUUUCACUGUAAGCCUGAUGUUUAUGCUUACAAUACUAUAAUUCUUGCUCUUUGUAGAGUUGGGUUUUUUAAGAAAGCUAAGUCUUUAUUGCAGAAAAUGGAAUUACCUGGGUUUCAAUGCCAGCCUGAUACCUACACAUACACAAUUUUAAUAAGCUCGUAUUGCAAGUAUGCAAUGCAAAUUGGGUCUAGGAAGGCUAUUCGUCGUAGGAUUUGGGAAGCUAAUCAUUUGUUUAGGUUGAUGUUGUUUAAGGGUUUUGUUCCUGAUAUUGUUACUUACAAUAGUUUGAUUGAUGGUUGUUGUAAAACUAAUAGGAUUGAGAGAGCUCUUGAGCUUUUUGAUGAUAUGAAGAAGAGGGGUUGUGUUCCAAACCGGAUUACUUAUGAUUCGUUUAUUAGAUAUUAUAGCACGGUGAAUGAGAUUGAUAAAGGUAUUGAAAUGUUGAGGAGAAUGCAUGAAACGAACCAUGGAACGCCGAGUACUAGCUCCUACACUCCGAUUAUUCAUGCGUUGUGUGAAGUGGGAAGAGCAACUGAUGCUUGGAGGUUUCUUGUGGAGCUUGUGAAUGGAGGUUCCAUCCCUAGGGAGUACACUUACAAGUUGGUUCUUGAUGGAUUACGCUCGAGUGGAAGAGCAGAUUUGCUGAAUGAAGGAAUGUGUAAAAGAAUUGAGGAUGGUAUAGUAGUUAGAUAUAGGCAAAGAAUGAUGACUAAACCCCAUAUGAAUCAUAAAGGUUCCAUUGUUGUAGUUGAAGAUCAUUGAUUGAGGUACUUUUACUGUCCUGUAGUCCUGUUAUUCUACAACAAACCAUCCAUUGGCCUGUGCACUGAAACAAGAGGUAUACAAGUAUACAACUAAGUUGCUCCUACCUAGACGGGGUUUGCGACUUUGGAGAGAUGGAAUGUAUGCAACCUUCCUCUUGUAAUAACAAAUAUGUUUCUAUUCAGCCAUUAAUUGCAUACAUAAUCUACAAUUUCACAUAAUAAAAAAGCGCAUAUGAUUUGCGAGUCAUUUUACAUUAGCCUAUUGUUGGAGUAUAUAAUAUAUCCUGGAGCCUCAACCAUCAGCGUAAGCUUUUGGUUGAGUUGGUUCAUUGACAUGGUAUCAGAUGCCAACGUGACAAGAGGUUACGGGUUCGAAUCUCAACCACCCCUCAUUUAAAGUAGAAUAUUCAGCCAUGCGCAUCCACACUUCUAGCCCAAUAGGCUCUGUGUGAGGGGGCGACUUAUAAUAUAUAACAUAUCUUGGGGUCUCAAUCAUCAGUAUCGCUGAACAAUGGUGUAUAUCUCUGGCAUUAACUCAGGCCUUCUACUUCAAAAGCUUAUGGUGUCACGUGAUUCAUUAAUCUACCCUCGAGUUGCAAAUCAAAACAAGCAAAUUAUGAUGGACUUUGUGCUAUUUUGAGGCUUUUUAAGCGAAUUGCGAAUUUAAAAAGCUAAUUUUCUAGCGAAAUAUGAAUAUCCAUUCAAAUUUGAAAAGCAGUUUACAAUCAAAAUGUGCUUUCAAUAACCUGAAAACUCUGCCUCCAGUGGGAAUCUAUUGUUGUCACCAAGGCAUUUCAGGUGGACAGCUCUAUACUGCACUGUUUCGAGCAAAGAAAUCCUCUCAGGUGACGGUUUUACUGAUCCGAUUUUAUAAGAUAAUGAGCAAACUCUCUUGAACAAAGUUCUCUUUUUAUGCGAUUUGUUGUAUUCGGAAUACUUCAGAUACGAGGCAUUGAUGCAUCUGGAGCCGAUGAUACCUCUUCAAAUAAGUAAUCUACAUGACAAUUGGGGUUGAUAUUUUAUAUUUCAUCCCUAUUGUGUUCUGUCACAUUAGACUUGUCUUUAAAAGAAAAUGUUAUGCCAAGUAUAAUCCUGGCCUUAAACUUCUCAUCUGAUCUCACUGAAUAUGUUAAGAGCCAUACUUUUUGCUACCCGGAUUAAAAUAACUUAGCUGCCUCUGAGCAGCUGUCAGCUAUAUCAGCUGAUGACCCAAAUAUUUUGAGACAUUUUACUUCUGCUGAUAAUAUAAACAAGAAAACUUUACUUGUUUUGAACUUUGUAUUGAUGAGUUGAUGACUAGGUUCCAAUGGUUUCGUCAUGAGUUAGACUUGAGUUAAUUAUAGGUUUCUACUAAUAGUAUAUCAGCAUUCAGCUCUGCAAAUUCAAAAAUAGAUUAUAAAAUACAUAAAAAAAAAACUACUUGAUUUGGUGACUAGGUUUUAAUGGUUUAUCUUUUUUUUUGUUUUUGUAUGACCCGACUGUUAAGAAAAUGACCCGACUCAGUUUGAUUCGAUCUGUUAUACACCUCUACUUUACUUUAGAUGUAGGAUCAAGUAACAAUAUAACUUAAACUAAAAGAUAAUGUGAGAAAUUGUUAUUAACAAUAAUUCAUAAUGUCAACUCAAUAUUUGGUGUUAUAUUAUUGACUUGUAUUUAACUUGUUAAUUUUUAUUGAUGAGUUGGUGACUAGGUUUUAAUGCAAAAAUUAUAAAUAAUGCAAAAAAGCAAUUUCAAUAGUAGUUACAGUUAUAAU